GAGCAAUGAGGAGAAUAGCGCUUCCUGUGAUGCCGCGGUGCAUCACAAUCGUCUGAUUAUUAGUUGACCUCAACGCUCCUGAGCAC
Molecule: non-coding RNA, 86 nt
Organism: Phoenix dactylifera (date palm)
Lineage: Eukaryota; Viridiplantae; Streptophyta; Magnoliopsida; Arecales; Arecaceae
Source: RefSeq, a predicted model, not a curated record